UGCAAGUCGAGCGAACUGACGAGGAGCUUGCUCCUUUGACGUUAGCGGCGGACGGGUGAGUAACACGUGGGUAACCUACCUAUAAGACUGGAAUAACUCCGGGAAACCGGGGCUAAUGCCGGAUAACAUAUCGAACCGCAUGGUUCGAUAGUGAAAGACGGUCUUGCUGUCACUUAUAGAUGGACCCGCGCCGUAUUAGCUAGUUGGUGAGGUAACGGCUCACCAAGGCAACGAUACGUAGCCGACCUGAGAGGGUGAUCGGCCACACUGGAACUGAGACACGGUCCAGACUCCUACGGGAGGCAGCAGUAGGGAAUCUUCCGCAAUGGGCGAAAGCCUGACGGAGCAACGCCGCGUGAGUGAUGAAGGUCUUCGGAUCGUAAAGCUCUGUUGUUAGGGAAGAACAAAUGUGUAAGUAACUGUGCACAUCUUGACGGUACCUAACCAGAAAGCCACGGCUAACUACGUGCCAGCAGCCGCGGUAAUACGUAGGUGGCAAGCGUUAUCCGGAAUUAUUGGGCGUAAAGCGCGCGUAGGCGGUUUUUUAAGUCUGAUGUGAAAGCCCACGGCUCAACCGUGGAGGGUCAUUGGAAACUGGAAAACUUGAGUGCAGAAGAGGAAAGUGGAAUUCCAUGUGUAGCGGUGAAAUGCGCAGAGAUAUGGAGGAACACCAGUGGCGAAGGCGGCUUUCUGGUCUGUAACUGACGCUGAUGUGCGAAAGCGUGGGGAUCAAACAGGAUUAGAUACCCUGGUAGUCCACGCCGUAAACGAUGAGUGCUAAGUGUUAGGGGGUUUCCGCCCCUUAGUGCUGCAGCUAACGCAUUAAGCACUCCGCCUGGGGAGUACGGUCGCAAGACUGAAACUCAAAGGAAUUGACGGGGACCCGCACAAGCGGUGGAGCAUGUGGUUUAAUUCGAAGCAACGCGAAGAACCUUACCAAAUCUUGACAUCUUUUGACCACUCUAGAGAUAGAGUUUUCCUCUUCGGAGGACAAAAUGACAGGUGGUGCAUGGUUGUCGUCAGCUCGUGUCGUGAGAUGUUGGGUUAAGUCCCGCAACGAGCGCAACCCUUGAGCUUAGUUGCCAUCAUUAAGUUGGGCACUCUAAGUUGACUGCCGGUGACAAACCGGAGGAAGGUGGGGAUGACGUCAAAUCAUCAUGCCCCUUAUGAUUUGGGCUACACACGUGCUACAAUGGACAAUACAAAGGGCAGCGAAACCGCGAGGUCAAGCAAAUCCCAUAAAGUUGUUCUCAGUUCGGAUUGUAGUCUGCAACUCGACUACA
This 1283-nucleotide ribosomal RNA is filed under the name Staphylococcus chromogenes. Its description in RNAcentral is "bacterial SSU rRNA". It matches the Rfam family "Bacterial small subunit ribosomal RNA", at positions 56 to 1320 of the family's 1533-position model. Lineage: Bacteria; Bacillati; Bacillota; Bacilli; Caryophanales; Staphylococcaceae. The record is from RNAcentral.